CAGGGAAUCUUGCGCAAUGGACGGGAGUCCGACGCAGCGACGCCGCGUGGGUGAAGACGGCCUUCGGGUUGUAAAGCCCUUUUCUGGGGGAAGAGAGAGGACGGUACUCCAGGAAUAAGUGUCGGCUAACUACGUGCCAGCAGCCGCGGUAAUACGUAGGACACGAGCGUUAUCCGGAUUUACUGGGCGUAAAGCGCUUGUAGGCGGUUCUUCUAGUCGUUUGUGAAAGCCCUGGGCUCAACCUGGGGAGGCCAAGCGAGACUGGAGGACUUGAGGGUGACAGAGGGGGGUGGAAUUUCCGGUGUAGCGGUAGAAUGCGCAGAUAUCGGGAGGAACACCAGUGGCGAAGGCGGCUCCCUGGGUGACCCCUGACGCUGAGAGGCGAAAGCUAGGGG
RNAcentral lists this ribosomal RNA (395 nucleotides) under uncultured bacterium. Its description in RNAcentral is "bacterial SSU rRNA". It matches the Rfam family "Bacterial small subunit ribosomal RNA", at positions 355 to 766 of the family's 1533-position model. The record is from RNAcentral.